AGCGGCGGACGGGUGAGUAACACGUGGGUAACCUGCCUGUAAGACUGGGAUAACUCCGGGAAACCGGGGCUAAUACCGGAUGGUUGUUUGAACCGCAUGGUUCAGACAUAAAAGGUGGCUUCGGCUACCACUUACAGAUGGACCCGCGGCGCAUUAGCUAGUUGGUGAGGUAACGGCUCACCAAGGCGACGAUGCGUAGCCGACCUGAGAGGGUGAUCGGCCACACUGGGACUGAGACACGGCCCAGACUCCUACGGGAGGCAGCAGUAGGGAAUCUUCCGCAAUGGACGAAAGUCUGACGGAGCAACGCCGCGUGAGUGAUGAAGGUUUUCGGAUCGUAAAGCUCUGUUGUUAGGGAAGAACAAGUGCCGUUCAAAUAGGGCGGCACCUUGACGGUACCUAACCAGAAAGCCACGGCUAACUACGUGCCAGCAGCCGCGGUAAUACGUAGGUGGCAAGCGUUGUCCGGAAUUAUUGGGCGUAAAGGGCUCGCAGGCGGUUUCUUAAGUCUGAUGUGAAAGCCCCCGGCUCAACCGGGGAGGGUCAUUGGAAACUGGGGAACUUGAGUGCAGAAGAGGAGAGUGGAAUUCCACGUGUAG
RNAcentral lists this ribosomal RNA (599 nucleotides) under Bacillus velezensis variant polyfermenticus. Its description in RNAcentral is "bacterial SSU rRNA". It matches the Rfam family "Bacterial small subunit ribosomal RNA", at positions 94 to 678 of the family's 1533-position model. Lineage: Bacteria; Bacillati; Bacillota; Bacilli; Caryophanales; Bacillaceae. The record is from RNAcentral.